Long non-coding RNA from Ixodes scapularis (black-legged tick), 163 nucleotides. RefSeq lists it as uncharacterized. The transcript is spliced from 3 exons. The record is from RefSeq and is a predicted model, not a curated record. NCBI's taxonomy places the organism in Eukaryota, Metazoa, Arthropoda, Arachnida, Ixodida, Ixodidae.
GCUACUUUGGACUCAUCUCGUGACAGUUCUUAGCACUGUUUACUGCAGGGUGAAUUCGUCGAAGGUACUGGAUGCCCGCUACCUUGGACGCAACUGCAGGCAGGCAGUGAAAUGUACCCGGUGGCCUGUCAGCUCAAGCCUAAUUAAUCCUGAAGCGCCCAGC